CGGGCGGCCGUGACCCUGCUGGAGUCCGGGGGGGACCUCCAGCCCCCCGGGGGGUCCCUGCGCCUCCUCUGCCGAGGGGACGGAUUCGACAUCGGGAAAUUUGUGAUGUUCUGGAUCCGCCAAAAACCUGGGAAGGCGCUGGAAUUCGUCGCGAGCAUCACCAGUGGUGGCAGCACCAACUACGCGCCGUCGGUGCAGGGCCGGUUCACCAUCAGCAGGGACAACGGGCAGAGCUCGGUGACGCUGAGCAUGAACAACCUCCAGGACGAGGAUUCCGGGGUUUAUUUCUGUGCCAAAUCUUUUGGUGAUAGUUGGGGUGCUGCUGCUGAUGGUGACAAACCGUGCCCCCAUCGCUGUGUCCCCAAUCCCCAGGAUUUUGCCCCAAACCCCAGGAUUUCCCCCCAAAGCUCAGCCCUGACCCCGCUCCUGACCCUUUGUCCCCGAGUGUCCCAGCGCUGA
Non-coding RNA from Poecile atricapillus (Black-capped chickadee), 459 nucleotides. The record is from the annotation of a RefSeq genome assembly. NCBI's taxonomy places the organism in Eukaryota, Metazoa, Chordata, Aves, Passeriformes, Paridae.